RNAcentral lists this ribosomal RNA (468 nucleotides) under uncultured bacterium. RNAcentral describes it as "partial 16S ribosomal RNA". It matches the Rfam family "Bacterial small subunit ribosomal RNA", at positions 28 to 507 of the family's 1533-position model. The record is from RNAcentral.
GACGAACGCUGGCGGCGUGCUUAACACAUGCAAGUCGAACGGAAAGGCCCUGCUUUUGUGGGGUGCUCGAGUGGCGUACGGGUGAGUAACACGUGAGUAACCUGCCCUAGACUUUGGGAUAACUUCAGGAAACUGGGGCUAAUACCGGAUAGGAGCUCCUGCUGCAUGGUGGGGGUUGGAAAGUUUCGGCGGUUGGGGAUGGACUCGCGGCUUAUCAGCUUGUUGGUGGGGUAGUGGCUUACCAAGGCUUUGACGGGUAGCCGGCCUGAGAGGGUGACCGGCCACAUUGGGACUGAGAUACGGCCCAGACUCCUACGGGAGGCAGCAGUGGGGAAUAUUGCACAAUGGGCGGAAGCCUGAUGCAGCAACGCCGCGUGCGGGAUGACGGCCUUCGGGUUGUAAACCGCUUUCGCCUGUGACGAAGCGUGAGUGACGGUAAUGGGUAAAGAAGCACCGGCUAACUACGUG